GGGGAUUUUGCUCAGUGGGACGGAGCCUGCCUUGUAAGCACUAGGUCCUGAGUUCAAUUCCCAGAACCCCCC
This 72-nucleotide transfer RNA is filed under the name Fukomys damarensis (Damara mole-rat). It matches the Rfam family "tRNA". Rfam says of the family: Transfer RNA (tRNA) molecules are approximately 80 nucleotides in length. Their secondary structure includes four short double-helical elements and three loops (D, anti-codon, and T loops). Further hydrogen bonds mediate the characteristic L-shaped molecular structure. tRNAs have two regions of fundamental functional importance: the anti-codon, which is responsible for specific mRNA codon recognition, and the 3' end, to which the tRNAs corresponding amino acid is attached (by aminoacyl-tRNA synthetases). tRNAs cope with the degeneracy of the genetic code in two manners: having more than one tRNA (with a specific anti-codon) for a particular amino acid; and 'wobble' base-pairing, i.e. permitting non-standard base-pairing at the 3rd anti-codon position. The record is from Rfam by way of RNAcentral. Lineage: Eukaryota; Metazoa; Chordata; Mammalia; Rodentia; Bathyergidae.